Molecule: long non-coding RNA, 785 nt
Filed under: Vigna radiata
Lineage: Eukaryota; Viridiplantae; Streptophyta; Magnoliopsida; Fabales; Fabaceae
Description: long non-coding RNA (VRAD_LNC000087)
Source: RNAcentral
GAUCGGUGAAAAGGCUAGGGUUGGGGGUUUAUGAGGUAUUAAUCGGUGAACAAAGAAGAUUCACCGAUUGAAUCGGUGGAAAAGAAGGAAUCUCCAUUUUAACCGGUGAAUGGAGCGAGAACAGAGUUUCAAUCGGAAAAAGGAUGAUUUAUAGUGAGGGAAGACGAAUCGGAGAAAUGGAUCGGUGAGAAGACUUACGGUGGAGUUGAGACGUGAAGGUGUCGAUGUGGUUUGGAGGAUGACGCUCUGGAGAACGAAAGAGCAUGGUGGCAGACGCUCUUGAGAGGGAGAUCUAGGGUUUGGCGUGAAAUAAGUAAAUGAAAAUGUUCUUGCUGAUGAAAGUAGAUAGGAAUGUGUGGCUGACGCAGGCCACGCGGCAAAGUUGAGUGGUGUACGGUGGUGUUUAGGUGGAGGAGAGAGAAACUGAUGGUGGAAAAAUGAGAGAUUGGUAAGUGUGAGAUGGAAGGUGGCUAGAGGAGAUCCUUUGGGAUUCUCUAGCCUUGACUUUCAAGGCAGAAUUGCUCUAGAGUGAUUCUCAACAGAAAAACAAUUCAAUUAGCUCAAAAGUGAAGUACAAUAAGGUAGGCAUGACUAUUUAUAGGACUAGAGGUCCUACAUGCCUAACACAAUACAAAAUACAUCAAAGAAAUACUAAACUAAAGAAAGUGGGCUUAGGCCCCGCGUAUCACACUUCCUAGUUAUACUGCAUUCCUAAUUGCACAUUAAAUUUGUGUGGGUUGCGACACCCAUCAGAGAGCAAGGAGAAAUCCUCUCCAAUAGGAGGG